RNAcentral lists this ribosomal RNA (400 nucleotides) under uncultured bacterium. RNAcentral describes it as "bacterial SSU rRNA". It matches the Rfam family "Bacterial small subunit ribosomal RNA", at positions 30 to 429 of the family's 1533-position model. The record is from RNAcentral.
AUUGAACGCUGGCGGCAUGCCUUACACAUGCAAGUCGAACGGCAGCACGGGAGCAAUCCUGGUGGCGAGUGGCGAACGGGUGAGUAAUAUAUCGGAACGUGCCCAGUCGUGGGGGAUAACGUAGCGAAAGCUACGCUAAUACCGCAUACGAUCUAUGGAUGAAAGCGGGGGAUCGCAAGACCUCGCGCGAUUGGAGCGGCCGAUAUCAGAUUAGGUAGUUGGUGAGGUAAAGGCUCACCAAGCCGACGAUCUGUAGCUGGUCUGAGAGGACGACCAGCCACACUGGGACUGAGACACGGCCCAGACUCCUACGGAGGCAGCAGUGGGGGAAUUUUUGGACAAUGGGCGCAAGCCUGAUCCAGCAAUGCCGCGUGCAGGAUGAAGGCCUUCGGGUUGUAAC